CCCAUAAGAGGGGGGAUAACAUCCGGAAACGGGUGCUAAUACCGCAUAGUUUUCUUGAUCGCAUGAUUGAGAAAGGAAGACGGCCUUUGUGCUGUCGCUUAUGGAUGGACCCGCGGCGUAUUAGUUGGUGAGGUAAUGGCUCACCAAGACGAUGAUACGUAGCCGACCUGAGAGGGUGAUCGGCCACAUUGGGACUGAGACACGGCCCAAACUCCUACGGGAGGCAGCAGUAGGGAAUCUUCCGCAAUGGACGAAAGUCUGACGGAGCAACGCCGCGUGAGUGAAGAAGGUUUUCGGGAAUCGUAAAACUCUGUUGUCAGAGAAGAACAAGUUGGAGAGUAACUGCUCCAGCCUUGACGGUAUCUGACCAGAAAGCCACGGCUAACUACGUGCCAGCAGCUGC
RNAcentral lists this ribosomal RNA (403 nucleotides) under uncultured bacterium. RNAcentral describes it as "bacterial SSU rRNA". It matches the Rfam family "Bacterial small subunit ribosomal RNA", at positions 129 to 518 of the family's 1533-position model. The record is from RNAcentral.